Molecule: ribosomal RNA, 497 nt
Filed under: uncultured bacterium
Lineage: Bacteria
Description: partial 16S ribosomal RNA
Rfam family: Bacterial small subunit ribosomal RNA
Source: RNAcentral
GAUGAACGCUGGCGGCGUGCCUAAUACAUGCAAGUCGAGCGAACAGAUGAGGAGCUUGCUCCUCUGACGUUAGCGGCGGACGGGUGAGUAACACGUGUAUAACCUACCUAUAAGACUGGGAUAACUUCGGGAAACCGGAGCUAAUACCGGAUAAUAUAUUGAACCGCAUGGUUCAAUAGUGAAAGACGGUUUUGCUGUCACUUAUAGAUGGAUCCGCGCCGCAUUAGCUAGUUGGUAAGGUAACGGCUUACCAAGGCAACGAUGCGUAGCCGACCUGAGAGGGUGAUCGGCCACACUGGAACUGAGACACGGUCCAGACUCCUACGGGAGGCAGCAGUAGGGAAUCUUCCGCAAUGGGCGAAAGCCUGACGGAGCAACGCCGCGUGAGUGACGAAGGUCUUCGGAUCGUAAAACUCUGUUAUUAGGGAAGAACAAAUGUGUAAGUAACUAUGCACGUCUUGACGGUACCUAAUCAGAACGCCACGGCUAACUACGUG